AUACUUACCUGGCAGGGGAGAUACCAUGAUCACGAAGGUGGUUUUCCCACGGCGAGGCUUAUCCAUUGCACUCCGGAUGUGCUGACCCCUGCGAUUUUCCCAAAUGUGGGAAACUCGACUGCGUAAUUUGUGGUAGUGGGGGACUGCGUUCGCACUUUCCACUG
Small nuclear RNA from Tupaia belangeri (northern tree shrew), 164 nucleotides. Its record names the gene U1. It matches the Rfam family "U1 spliceosomal RNA". From Rfam's summary of the family: U1 is a small nuclear RNA (snRNA) component of the spliceosome (involved in pre-mRNA splicing). Its 5' end forms complementary base pairs with the 5' splice junction, thus defining the 5' donor site of an intron. There are significant differences in sequence and secondary structure between metazoan and yeast U1 snRNAs, the latter being much longer (568 nucleotides as compared to 164 nucleotides in human). The record is from Ensembl. NCBI's taxonomy places the organism in Eukaryota, Metazoa, Chordata, Mammalia, Scandentia, Tupaiidae.